RNAcentral lists this long non-coding RNA (1359 nucleotides) under Sus scrofa (pig). Its description in RNAcentral is "lncRNA (ENSSSCG00060011499.1)". The record is from RNAcentral. Lineage: Eukaryota; Metazoa; Chordata; Mammalia; Artiodactyla; Suidae.
CACAUGAGAACCUUUCAAAGGGGGCUUCUGUCUUUUCAAAGCUGUAAGCUUUGAAUUUGCUGUCUUAGUGUUGUAGAGUCCCUUUCUAAUUUUAGAUAAAUUUACACCUCCCUCCCUGUCUUGGGAGCAAAAAUGUAAUAGAGAUUCCCCAGGCUGCCAUCUGCAUUUAAAUUAUUUCAGUUCUAUGAGAUUUUUUUGUUAUUUUAAAAAAAUGUAAUCUGAGCACUUUUUUAUAUUCUAAAAGAUAGAGGCUGUUAUCAGAUGAAUAUAUUAUUCAUUUGAUUAAAGUUAUUUAGAUAAGAAAUUACUCUUGUUUAUGUUUUCUUUCAAACAGCUUAUCCUAAUUUUUAUCCAUUGUGCAAGAUAUCAGUUUUAUAUAGUUUGAUUUUUAUAGGCUUUUAUUCAGUAUGAAUAAAGAUGAGAGAUGAAGACAGGUACUUAAAACGUAUCUUCUGUUGCUAACUUUAAAGAAGGAAAUGAAAUGGAAACAGUUGGGAAAUGUUUGAUUAGAACUCACUCAAAUGUGUAUUACUUUCCAAAAGAAAACCAGUGACUGCAAGACAAAACAAAUUUGAUUGCAUGUGAUAUUUUCUGCUCUUGUAUGUGCUUCUUGAACAGUCCAUUUGAUAAAGCUUGAAUGGAAAAAAAUAAAACUUUCUAUCUGCAGUGGCUCUUGCUGGUCAUUACUUAAAAGGCAUAUGUAUUUUCAUCUUUUGAGUUCUUGGGUACAUUUUACCUAUAGGGAAUAUGCAGAAUAAAGGUAGAACAUUAGCUAUAUGAAUUAUGGUUUUUAAUUUUCAGUAAUUGGAAUUUCACAUCACAUAGUUACCUGACAAAGUGUGACGGAUUUCUUUUUCAGGAAAAAAUUAAUCUCACCUUAAGCACAGAGCCUGGGUUUUCACAAGAUACAGAUUUAAGUAGCAAACUCAAAUUUAAAUUUCUUUUAAAAAGUUUAGUUUUCAGAAAAUUUUUCAUAAAGUGUAUCAUUCGCAAUAGUCCAGUGUAUUUAUAGGGUGCAUUUUAAAGUGUUUUGUCUUUCAUAGUAUAAGGAGAUCCUGAUAAGUUUAUGGCAAAGUGAAUCCUGUUUCCCAGGUGAUUUAAAUGUUAGUUGUGAUCCCCACUGGUGUUUUUUCUAGAAUGCAAAUAGCUUUAUUGUUUUUCUUAUUUGAAAUGGACAGUGUUUACCAGGUAACACUUAGGCAAUGUAGAAAAUUGUACCAAAACCAAAAAAAAUCACUUACAAUCCCAUCACUGACUACCACUCAUUCGCAUUUUGGCGUCUGUCCUUUCAAACUUUUAUUCUACCUGCAUGUAUGUAUGUUUUGUUUUAUUUUGAAAUAAAAAUGAAAUUAUGCCGUG